Potamilus streckersoni is the source of this 73-nucleotide non-coding RNA. The record is from the annotation of a GenBank genome assembly. NCBI's taxonomy places the organism in Eukaryota, Metazoa, Mollusca, Bivalvia, Unionida, Unionidae.
CACUGAUGGCCUAGUGGAUAAGAGUGUCCACCUCAGAUGUGGGAGAUUGUGGGUUUGAACCCCGGCCAGAAGA